AGAACGAACGCUGGCGGCAUGCCUAAUACAUGCAAGUCGAACGAACUCUUCGGAGUUAGUGGCGCACGGGUGCGUAACGCGUGGGAAUCUGCCCUUGGGUUCGGAAUAACAGUUGGAAACGACUGCUAAUACCGGAUGAUGACGAAAGUCCAAAGAUUUAUCGCCCAGGGAUGAG
Molecule: ribosomal RNA, 175 nt
Filed under: uncultured soil bacterium
Lineage: Bacteria
Description: partial 16S ribosomal RNA
Rfam family: Bacterial small subunit ribosomal RNA
Source: RNAcentral